UCUGUGGAGAGCUAUACAAACUAAAUAAAGUUUAUCCCUUGAGAUAGAUGAUUUAUUUAGAGUUCUGUGAAACAGAAA
Molecule: non-coding RNA, 78 nt
Filed under: unclassified sequences
Source: RNAcentral